GAUGAACGCUGGCGGCGUGCCUAAUACAUGCAAGUCGAGCGAACGGACGAGAAGCUUGCUUCUCUGAUGUUAGCGGCGGACGGGUGAGUAACACGUGGAUAACCUACCUAUAAGACUGGGAUAACUUCGGGAAACCGGAGCUAAUACCGGAUAAUAUUUUGAACCGCAUGGUUCAAAAGUGAAAGACGGUCUUGCUGUCACUUAUAGAUGGAUCCGCGCUGCAUUAGCUAGUUGGUAAGGUAACGGCUUACCAAGGCAACGAUGCAUAGCCGACCCGAGAGGGUGAUCGGCCACACGGGAACUGAGACACGGUCCAGACUCCUACGGGAGGCAGCAGUAGGGAAUCUUCCGCAAUGGGCGAAAGCCUGACGGAGCAACGCCGCGUGAGUGAUGAAGGUCUUCGGAUCGUAAAACUCUGUUAUUAGGGAAGAACAUAUGUGUAAGUAACUGUGCACAUCUUGACGGUACCUAAUCAGAAAGCCACGGCUAACUACGUG
RNAcentral lists this ribosomal RNA (497 nucleotides) under uncultured bacterium. RNAcentral's name for it is "partial 16S ribosomal RNA". It matches the Rfam family "Bacterial small subunit ribosomal RNA", at positions 28 to 507 of the family's 1533-position model. The record is from RNAcentral.